RNAcentral lists this ribosomal RNA (213 nucleotides) under uncultured bacterium. RNAcentral's name for it is "partial 16S ribosomal RNA". It matches the Rfam family "Bacterial small subunit ribosomal RNA", at positions 123 to 334 of the family's 1533-position model. The record is from RNAcentral.
AACCUGCCUCGGAGUGGGGAAUAACACAACGAAAAGCUGUGCUAAUACCGCAUGAUACAGUUGGGUCGCAUGACUCUGACUGUCAAAGAUUUAUCGCUCUGAGAUGGCCUCGCGUCUGAUUAGCUAGUUGGUGGGGUAACGGCCCACCAAGGCGACGAUCAGUAGCCGGACUGAGAGGUUGACCGGCCACAUUGGGACUGAGACACGGCCCAG